UUGCAGCCAGAUCACAUUGAAACAUUGGUUCCCAUACAAUCACCAAAGUUAAACAACAUCGAGCCUGGUCAGUACUUAGAUGGGUAACCACCUGGGAAUAUCAUGUGUUGUAAG
Molecule: non-coding RNA, 114 nt
Organism: Acanthosepion pharaonis
Lineage: Eukaryota; Metazoa; Mollusca; Cephalopoda; Sepiida; Sepiidae
Source: the annotation of a GenBank genome assembly